CCACAUCAAGAUUGCUUUCAAAUUAAAUGUUGAUUUCUCCACAGCAUCAUACAUCCUAACUCCAUUUACCCACAACUCAUUUAAAUCUUCUACAAGUGGUGCCAAGUAAACAUCUAUGUCAUUACCGGGCUAUUUUGGCCCAGGGAUUAGUAAAGUCAACAUUAAGUUUUCCUUGGACAUGCAUAACCAUGGAGGCAAGUUGUACAUAGAUAAAAUGACAGGCCAACAACUAUAACUCGUGCUAAGAUCUUGAAAAGGAUUGAAACCAUCAGUAGCUAGACCAAAUCUGAUAUUUCGAGGAUCUAAUGCAAACGAUGGCCAUUUUCUAUUUAUGGUCUCCCACGCAAGAGAAUCAACUGGAUGUCUCAUCUUACCGUCUUGGCUUUUAUGACUUUGGUGCCAUCUAAGUUGUUUUGCCAAUUCUGUGAUCCUAAACAUCCUCUUAAGUCUUGGUAUUAUUGGAAAAUAGCGCAAGACUUUUGCAGGUAUGCCUUGAUGAAUCUUAUUAGUUCGUUCAUCAACUUUCCAAUGAGAAGAACCACAUUUAAG
This 549-nucleotide long non-coding RNA is filed under the name Citrus maxima (pomelo). Its description in RNAcentral is "long non-coding RNA (CMAX_LNC003814)". The record is from RNAcentral. Lineage: Eukaryota; Viridiplantae; Streptophyta; Magnoliopsida; Sapindales; Rutaceae.